This 497-nucleotide ribosomal RNA is filed under the name uncultured bacterium. RNAcentral describes it as "partial 16S ribosomal RNA". It matches the Rfam family "Bacterial small subunit ribosomal RNA", at positions 28 to 507 of the family's 1533-position model. The record is from RNAcentral.
GAUGAACGCUGGCGGCGUGCCUAAUACAUGCAAGUCGAGCGAACAGACGAGGAGCUUGCUCCUCUGACGUUAGCGGCGGACGGGUGAGUAACACGUGGAUAACCUACCUAUAAGACUGGGAUAACUUCGGGAAACCGAAGCUAAUACCGGAUAAUAUAUUGAACCGCAUGGUUCAAUAGUGAAAGACGGUUUUGCUGUCACUUAUAGAUGGAUCCGCGCCGCAUUAGCUAGUUGGUAAGGUAACGGCUUACCAAGGCAACGAUGCGUAGCCGACCUGAGAGGGUGAUCGGCCACACUGGAACUGAGACACGGUCCAGACUCCUACGGGAGGCAGCAGUAGGGAAUCUUCCGCAAUGGGCGAAAGCUUGACGGAGCAACGCCGCGUGAGUGAUGAAGGUCUUCGGAUCGUAAAACUCUGUUACUAGGGAAGAACAAAUGUGUAAGUAACUAUGCACGUCUUGACGGUACCUAAUCAGAAAGCCACGGCUAACUACGUG